This 578-nucleotide ribosomal RNA is filed under the name uncultured bacterium. Its description in RNAcentral is "bacterial SSU rRNA". It matches the Rfam family "Bacterial small subunit ribosomal RNA", at positions 97 to 670 of the family's 1533-position model. The record is from RNAcentral.
GGCGAACUGGUGAGUAACAAGGUGAAUAACGUGCCCCUGAGUGGGGGAUAACCCCGGGAAACCGGGGCUAAUACCGCAUGGUCUCUCUGGCCCACGGGUUUGAGAGUAAAGCAGUAAUGCGCUUGGGGAUCGGUUCACCUCCCAUUAGCUAGUUGGUAGGGUAAUGGCCUACCAAGGCUACGAUGGGUAGCUGGUCUGAGAGGAUGGUCAGCCACACUGGGACUGAGAUACGGCCCAGGCUCCUACGGGGGGCAGCAGUCUAGAGGCUUCGUCAAUGCCCGAAAGGGUGAACGAGCGACGCCGCGUGCGGGAUGAAGGGUUUCGGCUUGUAAACCGCUUUUCUUUGGGAAGAAGGUACGGUUCGUGCAAUCGUGCUCGACGGUACCAGAGGAAUAAGCCCCGGCUAACUCCGUGCCAGCAGCCGCGGUAAGACGGAGGGGGCAAGCGUUGUUCGGAAUUAUUGGGCGUAAAGGGCGCGUAGGCGGAUCGGCGGGUCCGGCGUGAAAUCUCCACCGCUUAACGGGGAGAAGCCGCUGGAAACUACCGAUCUGGAGUUCGGCAGAGGACCAUGGAAUUCC